RNAcentral lists this ribosomal RNA (430 nucleotides) under uncultured bacterium. RNAcentral describes it as "bacterial SSU rRNA". It matches the Rfam family "Bacterial small subunit ribosomal RNA", at positions 354 to 796 of the family's 1533-position model. The record is from RNAcentral.
GUGGGGAAUAUUGCACAAUGGGCGAAAGCCUGAUGCAGCAACGCCGCGUGAGGGACGACGGCCUUCGGGUUGUAAACCUCUUUUAGUAGGGAAGAAGCGAAAGUGACGGUACCUGCAGAAAAAGCACCGGCUAACUACGUGCCAGCAGCCGCGGUAAUACGUAGGGUGCAAGCGUUAUCCGGAAUUAUUGGGCGUAAAGAGCUCGUAGGCGGUCUGUCGCGUCUGCUGGGAAAACUGGAGGCUCAACCUCCAGCCUGCAGUGGGUACGGGCAGAGUAGAGGGCGGUAGGGGAGAUUGGAAUUCCUGGUGUAGCGGUGGAAUGCGCAGAUAUCAGGAGGAACACCGAUGGCGAAGGCAGAUCUCUGGGCCGUAACUGACGCUGAGGAGCGAAAGCGUGGGGAGCGAACAGGAUUAGAAACCCUUGUAGUCC